CUGGCCUACCGAGAUACUGGGAAAAUUCCUGGUAGGCCGGUUUACCUUUGGGCGGGUGUGCCUAGUGCACAUCGGACAGGGAUGCAUGGCCCAAUUGCAGGGUGACCAGCAGAAGGGGAAGCGCGGAGGAGGAGCUCCUGUUCCUUCACCUGGUCUGACAGGAAGUACUCGCUGAGAGCACAGAACUGCUUCCUGUGUCAGACCGGGGAGAGUGCACAGGAGCUCCACUAUCUCAGCUCAGCCACGCUACACAGGAUGAACAGGGGGCAAUGGGACACAUGGAGA
This is a non-coding RNA of Pelobates cultripes (western spadefoot toad), 285 nucleotides long. Lineage: Eukaryota; Metazoa; Chordata; Amphibia; Anura; Pelobatidae. The record is from the annotation of a GenBank genome assembly.